CGGGCAGACUAGAGUGCAGUAGGGGAGACUGGAAUUCCUGNUGUAGCGGUGAAAUGCGCAGAUAUCAGGAGGAACACCGAUGGCGAAGGCAGGUCUCUGGGCUGUAACUGACGCUGAGGAGCGAAAGCAUGGGGAGCGAACAGGAUUAGAUACCCUGGUAGUCCAUGCCGUAAACNNNNNNCACUAGGUGUGGGGGACAUUCCACGUUUUCCGCGCCGUAGCUAACGCAUUAAGUGCCCCGCCUGGGGAGUACGGCCGCAAGGCUAAAACUCAAAGGAAUUGACGGGGGCCCGCACAAGCGGCGGAGCAUGCGGAUUAAUUCGAUGCAACGCGAAGAACCUUACCAAGGCUUGACAUGUUCCUGACCGCCGUAGAGAUACGGUUUCCCCUUUGGGGCAGGUUCACAGGUGGUGCAUGGUUGUCGUCAGCUCGUGUCGUGAGAUGUUGGGUUAAGUCCCGCAACGAGCGCAACCCUCGUUCCAUGUUGCCAGCACGUAGUGGUGGGGACUCAUGGGAGACUGCCGGGGUCAACUCGGAGGAAGGUGGGGACGACGUCAAAUCAUCAUGCCCCUUAUGUCUUGGGCUUCACGCAUGCUACAAUGGCCGGUACAAUGGGUUGCGAUACUGUGAGGUGGAGCUAAUCCCAAAAAGCCGGUCUCAGUUCGGAUUGGGGUCUGCAACUCGACCCCAUGAAGUCGGAGUCGCUAGUAAUCGCAGAUCAGCAACGCUGCGGUGAAUACGUUCCCGGGCCUUGUACACACCGCCCGUCAAGUCACGAAAGUUGGUAACACCCGAAGCCG
This 800-nucleotide ribosomal RNA is filed under the name unidentified microorganism. RNAcentral's name for it is "bacterial SSU rRNA". It matches the Rfam family "Bacterial small subunit ribosomal RNA", at positions 633 to 1429 of the family's 1533-position model. The record is from RNAcentral.